UUUGUUGUGAAGAACGUUUGAUCGCGGCUGAAGUCCCGAGUAAUUUCGCGGCCUCUUUCUUUGGGCUAGGCUGUGGACGCGGAGCCAGAGUAUAGUACCGGAAGCAGCAACCUCCCGGCGUCCUUGUGGUGCUGUGCCGAUGGAUGCUCUGACAAUGGCGACUAUAAAGGCGCAGGUUGGGGCACCAUGGGAUCUACCUGGAACGAGUACCUUAACAACAGAGGCGCCUUGGCUGCUGCAGCGGACCGCUGGGGUGAGGCAACCCCACAGAAGGAGCAGCUCGCUUCUAUCUGCGGGGGCAUCGGCCACUGGGAGCGUGGCAGAUCAGCGAGAAGCACCACCGGCGGAACAUACGUCAAGUGCAACCAAGAAGGGCACAUGAGCCGGGAUUGUGCCACUGCUGACUAUGGAGGACGACGAGGAUGCCUCAGGUGUGGCGAGGAAGGCCACAUGAGUAGAGAUUGAAUGCAGACACGUGGGCUCGACACACUCAGAUGUGGGUCGCUAGGCUUGGCGUGCAGCCAGAUUACGUGUUUUGUGUGUGUUUUGUGCUAUAAUAGCUCUUUCAUUUUAGGGAAUUUUAAAAUUUGUACUUUUUUGACGAUGAUUUCGAUAAAUAUGCUCUUAUACCUUCCA
Long non-coding RNA from Dermacentor albipictus, 636 nucleotides. RefSeq lists it as uncharacterized. The record is from RefSeq and is a predicted model, not a curated record. NCBI's taxonomy places the organism in Eukaryota, Metazoa, Arthropoda, Arachnida, Ixodida, Ixodidae.